Molecule: long non-coding RNA, 660 nt
Organism: Entelurus aequoreus (snake pipefish)
Lineage: Eukaryota; Metazoa; Chordata; Actinopteri; Syngnathiformes; Syngnathidae
Exons: 4
Source: RefSeq, a predicted model, not a curated record
UGGUAUCAAGCCCAGACCCCGGGCGACGGACAUUACUCACCUGAGGAGGACAAGUGCAGCUUUUAUUUAUCGCCUCUCGGGCCCAAAGUAAGGACAAAGGCAAUGAAGAUGGCUGCGCUGUCAGGAAGUGGACUCAAGUGACACAUGAAGUGUCUUUUCUUUGGCUUGCACACCAUUCCGUCUCCAGGAGGAGCAUUUCUUCAAAACAUUGCAAGAACGUGUGCAAAAACAUGUUAUUGAUGGUUAGGUGGGGGUGAAGGUUGUGUCCCCCAGGACGCGAGAGGAAGAGCAGAAGCAGCUUGCAGGUGCGAUAUCCCUCCUUCCCAGCAGUUGUCUCCAGUAUCCCCCCCCCCCCAUACCCUCCACAUGCUUGAUGAUCUUGCACUCUUCCGCCAUGAUGUUUACUCUGGGGCGAGCCAAGGCGGAGAGGAGAGACGGGGGCGGAGGUGCAUUUGUCCCAAGGACCCACCGCCACCCACCCGCGGCCCCUUCGGAGCCUGCAUGCCCCCGGCCCUGCCUGGAACAUUUCAGUCUGGGGUUGUCAUGUGCACGUGGCGCACCCAUUUUACCCCUCAAUUAAAACACUUAAAUGUGUUUCCCUAAAUGUCCCUUGUUUAAAAUUUUAUAAAAUGGAAAAAAAAACUCUAUGGUAUUACAAUA